GCGAAAGCGAGUCUUAAUAGGGCGCUUUAGUCAGUAGUGGUAGACGCGAAACCGUGUGAUCUACCCAUGGGCAGGUUGAAGUUUAGGUAACACUAAAUGGAGGACCGAACCGUUUAACGCUGAAAAGUUUUCGGAUGACCUGUGGGUAGGGGUGAAAGGCCAAUCAAACUCGGAAAUAGCUCGUACUCCCCGAAAUGCAUUUAGGUGCAGCGAUGAUCAUAGUUACUUAGAGGUAGAGCUACUGAUUGGAUGCGGGGGCUUCACCGCCUACCAAUUCCUGACAAACUCCGAAUGCUAAUUAAUGAUAAUCAUCAGUGAGGGCAUGGGUGCUAAGGUCCAUGUCCGAGAGGGAAAGAACCCAGACCAUCAGCUAAGGUCCCCAAAUGUAUGCUAAGUUGAAAAAACGCGGUUUGAUUGCCCAGACAGCUAGGAUGUUGGCUUGGAAGCAGCCAUUCAUUUAAAGAGUGCGUAACAGCUCACUAGUCGAGCGAUCGAGCAUGGAUAAUAAUCGGGCAUAAGUAUACUACCGAAGCUAUGGAUUUACGUUUUAAACGUGAGUGGUAGGGGAGCAUUCUAUCGACGUAGAAGCCGUAUUGUGAGAUAUGGUGGAGUUUAUAGAAAAGAAAAUGUAGGCAUAAGUAACGAUAAGGGGUGCGAGAAACACCCCCGCCGUAAGACUAAGGUUUCCUGAGCUAUGCUAAUCAGCUUAGGGUUAGUCGGGACCUAAGGCAGACCCGAAGGGGGACGUCGAUGGCCAACGGGUUAAUAUUCCCGUACUACUAAUAAUUGUGAUGGAGUGACACAGUGAUGAAAGCACCGCGAACUGACGGAAUAGUUCGUUGAAGCACGUACCUAUAUUCCCUAUAGUAAAAUGCGUAGGGGAUGGAGAAAUGCGAUAGUACUCAGCGUUUUCGAACAACGAGAUAGUGUGCCUAAGGGCUGUCAAGAAAAGCUUCUAAACUUAGAUUAUUAGUACCCGUACCGUAAACCGACACAGGUAGUCGAGGAGAGUAUCCUAAGGCGCUCGAGAGAUUCAUGGCUAAGGAACUAGGCAAAAUAGACCUGUAACUUCGGGAGAAAGGUCGCCAGCGCAAGCUGGCCGCAGUGAAAAGGUCCAGGCGACUGUUUAUCAAAAACACAGGGCUCUGCAAAAUCGUAAGAUGAAGUAUAGGGCCUGACACCUGCCCGGUGCUGGAAGGUUAAGAGGGGAUGUCAUCGCAAGAGAAGCAUUGAAUCGAAGCCCCAGUAAACGGCGGCCGUAACGAUAACGGUCCUAAGGUAGCGAAAUUCCUUGUCGGGUAA
This 1302-nucleotide ribosomal RNA is filed under the name Photinus pyralis (common eastern firefly). RNAcentral describes it as "bacterial LSU rRNA". It matches the Rfam family "Bacterial large subunit ribosomal RNA", at positions 671 to 1979 of the family's 2925-position model. Lineage: Eukaryota; Metazoa; Arthropoda; Insecta; Coleoptera; Lampyridae. The record is from RNAcentral.